AAAAUUAGAAUUGGACCAAAUCGAUAGUAUAAAAGUCAAGUAGGAGAGAGAAAAUAAAAAAUUCUCUCCUCCUCCCUCGUCAAUGCCGACAGUCCCUCCUUUUUUUUCCUCACUAUUUUCCGGCCACCGUCCACCGGCCACGGAAUCCGGCAAACAAGCAACCUAUCUUGAUCCUCUCAUCAAAGCGAACUUCUCUGUGGCUUUGGUUCGCGUGAUAAGGGCCUGAAUCAAGAGAGAUCGUGAUUGGAAGGUUGCGUCACCUUGCGAUGGAGUUUUCCGACGGAAUCUCGUCGUUUCGUGGACUUCAAGUGCUGGGGAUGGUCUCAAUCGACACAUAGUCGCCUCCUGAACGAUUUUCCUCCAUUUAUUCCGAUGAUGGAGGAGGACCGACGAAACCACCAUGAGCCAUGGAGAUGCAGGGGCUGUCGGGGCUCCUUCCGGCCAAAUGGCCACAAACUCAACAAACCGACCCUGGGGACGAGUUCCCCGUGAAAUUUCGAGCGCGGGGCUGUGGUUGUUCCCAAACACGGCGAGGUUCGAUUUUCCGGCCACCAUGCACGGCGAUUGGCGGAGGCGGUCCCUGACCGGCCGGUGAGUCAGAAGAGGCAGUAGCAUCUUCUCAGUUUGCUGAUUAUCAUGACAUUUUUACUUUUCAUAUUGGGGCUUAAAAAGUUUCUCGACAUUUGAUAGAGGAUCGAGAAGUUGAGAAACGAUUUGCUAUAAGCAAAUGAACAGUGAGUAGUGUUAGAUAAUUCAUAUCAUCCACUUGCAUUUUACAUUUAUGCAUACACAACUAAAUGAUAGACAUGCAUUACUUGGUAAAUUGCUAAUUGUGCUGCAUUAUUUGUUGCUAUCGAAUAUUGCUUGAUUAGUUGUGAUGUGCUACAUGUAUGCCUUGCUUGUGUGGAAUUUGAAUGAGGUGGGUCACCAUUGGGUUUGUGAGGGCGGUCUAUGAUACCAUCGGCCAUGUAUGGGGAGAUCGGUGCCUCCGUGUACAUUUGAUGAAUUAUGAUAUGGAAAACCACAGAGUGGCCUCCUGUCGGUGUGGAAAAGAAAAGAGAGAAUAAAAAAAAAUGAAAGGGCUGGUCAAGUGAGGUUGAGACUGAUUGGCCAUGUAUGGGGGAUCAGCUCCUUAGUGCACACGUGGUGAGAGGGCGGGCCAUGUGUGAGGACGGCUCGUCAGGGGGUUUUGGUGACACCACUGACCAAUUUUCACGUGAUAUGAUUAUGUGAAAGUGUUAAUAUUUGUGAUUGCUGUUGUUAUGUCAUUUGUGUGAUCGUUUGCAUGAUCAUAUAACUAGUCGGAUAACUAGAUUUAUUUACGCAUUUGUGUGAUUAUGUGAGGUGAAAGGGUUAACUAACCUACCACUGAAUAUAGGCGCUCAUCCCUGCCUUAAUAUUUUUCCAGGUUACAAGUUUUCUAGUAUCUCGUGAUUUUUUGCCUCUUGACAUCUGGAGGAAAUGUUGAAAACAAAACCUUGAUUAUUUUUGUAUAGUGUAUUGAAGUAAAACUUUAGAUUCUUAGACUGUUCCGCAAUUACGAUAAUCGUGUAUAAUAAAUUUUGAAAUUAAUGAUGUAUUACUUAUUGAAGUUUCUAUUAUAUAAUAUAUUGAUAUGAGCCUAGAGAACUUUGGAAA
Jatropha curcas is the source of this 1638-nucleotide long non-coding RNA. RefSeq lists it as uncharacterized. NCBI's taxonomy places the organism in Eukaryota, Viridiplantae, Streptophyta, Magnoliopsida, Malpighiales, Euphorbiaceae. The record is from RefSeq and is a predicted model, not a curated record.